Molecule: ribosomal RNA, 853 nt
Filed under: Euphthiracarus monodactylus
Lineage: Eukaryota; Metazoa; Arthropoda; Arachnida; Sarcoptiformes; Euphthiracaridae
Description: partial large subunit ribosomal RNA
Rfam family: Eukaryotic large subunit ribosomal RNA
Source: RNAcentral
GCGGUGGAAAAGAAACCAAAAGGGAUUCCGAUAGUAACGGCGAGCGAACUCGGAUCAGCUCAUCGCCAAGUCCCUUCGUCAGCAGGCGUAAGGGAGAUGCGGCGUGAAAGUAGCAGAGCAUCGCGCUUUGCCUGUGAAACGCAAGUUCCUCUGACAAGGACUUUUUCCAUAGUGGGUGCUAGGCCCAUAGCUGUUUCGAGGCUUUGUGCGCAUUCUGUUGCUUGCUAGAGUCAGGUUGCUUGAAAGUGCAGCCCUAAGUCGGUGGUAAACUCCACCUAAAGCUAAAUAUUACUGCGAGACCGAUAGCAAACAAGUACCGUGAGGGAAAGUUGCAAAGAACUUUGAAGAGAGAGUUCAAUAGGACGUGAAACCGUUUGUAGGUAAACAGAUGGAACCACGAAGUUUGCCGGAAAGAAGAUUCAACUGUUUCGGGAACGGCUGUUGUUGUCGUCUUAUUCGGCUCUUUUUAAGGGCAGGCGGUGAUAGCGUUCAAAGCUGUUCUUGAGCGGUGCAUUUCUUCAGUUCCGUGCUUAAGCCAUGACUAGUUGGCAAACUAGAGCGUCCGUAAGCGAAACUAUUCAGAAGGUAGCCGGUUGUGCCUUUGUGCACAAGCUGGUGUUAUAUCUGAAUAGUUGGUGCUUUGCUCAAGUUAACCGACUAGCAAAAUUUCUCCGUUUAUGCGGAGUAUGCAAGUAAAGCAGAUGGGCAGUUCCGCUGUCGAGACAAGUGUUGAUUUUGUAAGCCUUUUUGUGUUUGCACGAAAAGAUUGCAAUUUUGAUCUGUCUAUGCUGGCGGCGGAAUUUCUGUUCGUUUGUGGCAAUCGAUGGCUAGUAGGUCGGUAUCCAUCUGACCC